GGGGAUUUAGCUCAGUGGUAGAGCGUUUGCCUAGGAAGCGCAAGGCCCUGGGUUCAGUCCCCAGCUCCCA
RNAcentral lists this transfer RNA (70 nucleotides) under Rattus norvegicus (Norway rat). It matches the Rfam family "tRNA". Rfam says of the family: Transfer RNA (tRNA) molecules are approximately 80 nucleotides in length. Their secondary structure includes four short double-helical elements and three loops (D, anti-codon, and T loops). Lineage: Eukaryota; Metazoa; Chordata; Mammalia; Rodentia; Muridae. The record is from Rfam by way of RNAcentral.